This 89-nucleotide non-coding RNA is filed under the name Candidatus Blastococcus massiliensis. Its description in RNAcentral is "TPP riboswitch (THI element)". It matches the Rfam family "TPP riboswitch aptamer (THI element)", at positions 9 to 90 of the family's 105-position model. From Rfam's summary of the family: Vitamin B(1) in its active form thiamin pyrophosphate (TPP) is an essential coenzyme that is synthesised by coupling of pyrimidine and thiazole moieties in bacteria. The previously detected thiamin-regulatory element, thi box was extended, resulting in a new, highly conserved RNA secondary structure, the THI element, which is widely distributed in eubacteria and also occurs in some archaea. The record is from RNAcentral. Lineage: Bacteria; Bacillati; Actinomycetota; Actinomycetes; Geodermatophilales; Geodermatophilaceae.
UACCGCGGGAGCCCAUCGCAAUGGGCUGAGAGGACGGCUGCGGCCGCCGACCGUUCGAACCUGUCCGGGUCAUGCCGGCGUAGGGAGGC